This 214-nucleotide ribosomal RNA is filed under the name Klebsiella pneumoniae. RNAcentral's name for it is "partial 23S ribosomal RNA". It matches the Rfam family "Bacterial large subunit ribosomal RNA", at positions 1132 to 1345 of the family's 2925-position model. The record is from RNAcentral. RNAcentral also lists the same sequence under 1 other name. Lineage: Bacteria; Pseudomonadati; Pseudomonadota; Gammaproteobacteria; Enterobacterales; Enterobacteriaceae.
GCGUAAUAGCUCACUGGUCGAGUCGGCCUGCGCGGAAGAUGUAACGGGGCUAAACCAUGCACCGAAGCUGCGGCAGCGACACUAUGUGUUGUUGGGUAGGGGAGCGUUCUGUAAGCCUGCGAAGGUGACCUGUGAGGGUUGCUGGAGGUAUCAGAAGUGCGAAUGCUGACAUAAGUAACGAUAAAGCGGGUGAAAAGCCCGCUCGCCGGAAGAC